RNAcentral lists this ribosomal RNA (492 nucleotides) under uncultured bacterium. RNAcentral's name for it is "partial 16S ribosomal RNA". It matches the Rfam family "Bacterial small subunit ribosomal RNA", at positions 29 to 507 of the family's 1533-position model. The record is from RNAcentral.
AGUGAACGCUGGCGGUAGGCCUAACACAUGCAAGUCGAACGGCAGCACAGUAAGAGCUUGCUCUUACGGGUGGCGAGUGGCGGACGGGUGAGGAAUACAUCGGAAUCUACUUUUUCGUGGGGGAUAACGUAGGGAAACUUACGCUAAUACCGCAUACGACCUACGGGUGAAAGCAGGGGAUCUUCGGACCUUGCGCGAUUGAAUGAGCCGAUGUCGGAUUAGCUAGUUGGCGGGGUAAAGGCCCACCAAGGCGACGAUCCGUAGCUGGUCUGAGAGGAUGACCAGGCACAGUGGAACUGAGACACGUUCCAGACGCCGACGGGAGCCAGCAGUGGGGAAUAGUGGACAAUGGGCGCAAGCUUGAUCCAGCCAUACCGCGUGGGAGAAGAAGGCCUUCGGGUUGUAAAGCCCUUUUGUUGGGAAAGAAAAGCAGCAGGUUAAUACCCCGCUGUUCUGACGGUACCCAAAGAAUAAGCACCGGCUAACUUCGUG